RNAcentral lists this unclassified non-coding RNA (3355 nucleotides) under Hevea brasiliensis (rubber tree). The record is from RNAcentral. Lineage: Eukaryota; Viridiplantae; Streptophyta; Magnoliopsida; Malpighiales; Euphorbiaceae.
GAGAGAGAGAGAGAGAGAGAGACACGGACAGCUCUUUCUCCGAGACACCAUAAAAACAAAGAAAACUGGUCUACAGGUGAGCUUGGACAAGAUGUUGAAGGUACCCUUCAAUUCUACGGACCAACUCCAAGCCCUAGCUUCUCAAUGCAGAUUUCUUAAUCAUCACCAUAACAGCCCUCAUUUCACUCGACGCCCUAACGCCCUCGCUUUCUCCUCCUCCGUCUAUAACUCUAAGACCUCCGUUCAGGCUGUCGUGUCUCAGGGAGACGCCACCCGCGUCGAUUCUGUGUGUGAAAGCUUGGCCAACCGCCUCCGCUUGGGGAACUUGACGGAGGAUGGCUUGUCUUACAAAGAGAAGUUUAUCGUCAGGAGCUAUGAGGUUGGGAUUAAUAAAACUGCCACUGUCGAGACCAUUGCUAACUUUUUGCAGGAGGUUGGCUGCAAUCAUGCUCAGAGUGUUGGAUUUUCUACUGAUGGAUUUGCUACAACCCACACAAUGAGGAAGUUGCAUCUCAUAUGGGUAACUGCUCGCAUGCACAUUGAAAUAUACAAGUAUCCAGCCUGGAGUGAUGUAGUUGAAGUAGAAACAUGGUGCCAAAAUGAAGGAAGAAUUGGAACCAGACGUGAUUGGAUUCUGACAGAUUAUGCUACUGGUCAAGUUAUAGGAAGAGCCACAAGCAAGUGGGUGAUGAUGAACCAAGAUACUAGGCGGCUUCAAAAAGUAACUGAUGAUGUCCGAGAUGAGUUAAUGGUUUACUGCCCACGAGAACUCAGGUAGGCAGCAUUUCAUUUCUAGAGGCCUAAAUAAUCACCGUUUAUUCUCUCAUGUUUCUGCAUAAUUCAUAAUUGACAUCUAGAAGGCUAUAUUAUUUACUGCAUUAGGUUUUCAAUAGUGCGGCUAAAUUCUAUCUUCAUAUUUUUAGAUGAAUGGCUGGGUCAAGGGUGAAUUGAGAGGGAAUUUAACCACAUAAAUUCAGUAUAUCUCCAUCCACUAUUCUUCAGUUUGAACUGCAAACUGUCCCUUUAAAAUCAUGGUUUGGUUUGUGAUGGAAAAAAGGGACUUUGAGAUGUGCUUUUCAGAUAUUAACACCUCCCAAUUAUAGCUUCCAUUUUUUAGGCUCAUUUAUUUUCCAAUUUCCAGGAACAUGUGCCAUGAGAAGGUCCUUUUGGAUAUUUUCUCAUAACAGGUCUUUUCAUUGAUCUUUUAAAUGCCCCUAGCAGACAAGUUUAAGUUUUUGGUUAUAUUUGAGACUAUGAGGGAACAUUUUAAGAAAUUAGAAAUGCAUUAGCGUUUGGAACAUUUUGAGAGUGUGAAGUUACAACAUAAAAUUUUGAAAAUGCAUUACAGCAAUUUGGAACAUAUAAUAAGAGUGCAGAUUCAACAUCCCCAGCUCCACUCUUCCUUCAUUGCCAUUGCAAAAAGGACCAUUUGAAAUUUGAUGACUAUGUUUUAAUGUUGUUAGUUUUAUUUUCAUCUAAGAUUUUUUUUUUUGGUGGAAAAUCUCAAGUGAUAUGGAAGCACAGUCAACUCAUUGAUUGAUCAAAUAUCGUAACGUAUUCCAUUUUGCUUGAAUUGUGUCUGAUUCAGAAUAUUUGAUGCAUGUGUAAGAUAGUAGGAAUCCAUAAUACUUCUGUGAACUUCCUUUUUUCUAUUUUCAUUUUCCUUUUAUUGUCCACAUCUUUGGUUGACUGUUUAAGACAGUAUACCAUCAAGCUUACAGGACGCAAGCUGCAAAUUUCCAGGAAAUUCCCAUGUUUGUAGAGUAUAUGGAUAAUUGCGUUCUGUCUCAUUUUGAUUGAUUGUGAUUGACAUAAUAUAAUUGGAUUAUUUGUAUAUUGGCGGUGUUUAUAGAUUAGCAUUUCCAGAGGAUAAUAAUCGCAGCUUAAAGAAGAUUUCAAAGCUAGAAGAUCCUGUUCAAUAUUCCAAACUAGGACUUGUGCCUAGAAGAGCAGAUUUGGACAUGAAUCAACAUGUUAAUAAUGUCACUUACAUUGGAUGGGUUCUAGAGGUUGGUAAUUGAAUGUAUUCUUGAAUGGUUGUGUUGGCUUUUGGCCUCCAUUACUUGGUCUAGCAAGUUCAUUUCUCUUCAUGACAGAGCAUGCCUCAAGAAAUCAUUGACACCCAUGAACUGCAAACAAUCACCUUGGAUUACAGAAGGGAAUGCCAACAUGAUGAUGUAGUUGAUUCCCUCACAAGUGUGGAACCUACUGAGGAUUCAGAGCUUCAACCAACAAAUGGUUCUGCCACUGCAACAGCUGGCGACCAGGACUGCCAAGACUUUUUACAUUUACUCAGAUUGUCAAGUGAUGGGCUUGAAAUAAACCGCGGCCGCACUGAGUGGAGAAAGAAAUCCAUAGGAUAAAGUGAAGAAGAAGAAGAAAAAGGUGAUUACAUUUGUUAAAGUGCUAAUUGGAGCCUUGUUGGAAAAGUAAAACAAAAAAUUGGCAAGCGCAAAUGCAAAAAGCUAAAAUGAAAAGCAGAAAAUGCAAUUGGCACGCAUAGAGGUUUUAUAGGCUAAAAUAAUAAUUAAUGCACAAAUUUUCAAAAGCCAAGCGCCAAAACCUCGAGGGCCAAAAUGGACUCUUGGCAUGACCAACAUGACAGUUGUGUCUCCCAUGAAUAAACCUCUGAAUAAAUGACAAGUGGCGCUCUCCUAACUGCACAAUGGGUGCUCCACCACAGCACUCUGACACUGGAGCUUAAAAAUUAGCACUAAAAAGGGGACUAGUGAUAUAGUACAUCCCAGAAACACAAAUAGAAUGGUUCGGGUUAACAAGUAUUACAUAUCCAAGCACCUAAGUUAGGUUGAGCUCCGCAUGGCUCACCUACCAACAGCUCGGACACCUCAUCUUAGUAGUUCAACAUUUGGACACAAGGAUGUUCAAAUGGUUCUACUCAAUCGAACUAUGGUUCACUUGUUGUUCAGAAGAUCAUUCAUUAUCCAUUUGGCGAGAUCCUUGCCUAGGAUAUCGGAAACCACUAAUCCCGAAUUGCAUGUUAACUACCUACAACUCCUCCAAGGUUUGCCUAUAUAAAGUGACACAGCUUUAGACCUCAGGUACGCUUACUUUAUUAAAAUUACCACUUAUUUACUCUUUCUUCAAGCUUUCAAGCACUCAAAUAUAAUAUUAACUUGAGCGUCAAAGUGGUUACCUAAGACGACUGACCUCACACCUUUCUUUGCAAGAUCCAGGCAUUGAUCCAAGGACUCACAAAAGCAUCACUAAUGAUCACAGUUUGCUUGAGUUGUUGCAAGAUAAAUUUGUCUUCCCAAUUUACCAUUUGUAGGAUAAAUUUGUCUUCCCAAUUUACCAUUUGUAGGAUAAAUUUGUCUUCCCAAUUUACCAUUUGUAG